Molecule: long non-coding RNA, 298 nt
Organism: Aplysia californica (California sea hare)
Lineage: Eukaryota; Metazoa; Mollusca; Gastropoda; Aplysiida; Aplysiidae
Exons: 2
Source: RefSeq, a predicted model, not a curated record
AUUUAACUCGAGGACCUCAGAAUGUUCCGGCCGCUUCCCUUAGAAUCGAUGGCAAAGUGAAACGUGAUGAAACGAAAUGGAGGUCACCACCGGACGUAGGCGAAAGUCAUGCUUCAACGUUGCUGAUUAUGCCAGGAAGGGCAGCAGUUACAUACCCUCAAAGACCAGGCCUGAAAUGCGUCGGUUUAACAGCAAUAAUCAAGGCGGACUCGCUCGACAUCUUGCAAGUCACAGACAAACCGAAGAAACGAAAGACAGACGAUAGCUAAGCUGACCGAUUAAAAAACCCAAAAACAAA